GAUACCGCCCUAGUUCUAACCAUAAACGAUGCCAACCAGCGAUCCGCCUGGGUUCCUCAAAUGACUCGGCGGGCAGCUUCCGGGAAACCAAAGUGUUUGGGUUCCGGGGGGAGUAUGGUUGCAAAGCUGAAACUUAAAGGAAUUGACGGAAGGGCACCACCAGGAGUGGAGCCUGCGGCUUAAUUUGACUCAACACGGGAAAACUUACCCGGCCCGGACACUGGAAGGAUUGACAGAUUAAGAGCUCUUUCUUGAUUCAGUGGGUGGUGGUGCAUGGCCGUUCUUAGUUGGUGGAGCGAUUUGUCUGGUUAAUUCCGUUAACGAGCGAGACUCUAGCCUACUAAAUAGGCGUUCCGAUCCCUUGCGUCGGACGCUCUUCUUAGAGGGACAGGCGGCGUCUAGCCGCACGAGACAGAGCAAUAACAGGUCUGUGAUGCCCUUAGAUGUCCGGGGCCGCACGCGCGCUACACUGAAGGAAUCAGCGUGUGCUCUCCCUGUCCGCUAGGACUGGGUAACCCGUUGAACCUCCUUCGUGAUAGGGAUAGGGGCUUGUAAUUGUUCCCCUUGAACGAGGAAUUCCCAGUAAGCGCGAGUCAUAAGCUCGUGUUGAUUAUGUCCCUGCCCUUUGUACACACCGCCCGUCGCUACCUCCGAU
RNAcentral lists this ribosomal RNA (655 nucleotides) under Scytodes thoracica. RNAcentral's name for it is "SSU rRNA". It matches the Rfam family "Eukaryotic small subunit ribosomal RNA", at positions 1011 to 1689 of the family's 1831-position model. RNAcentral also lists the same sequence under 4 other names. Lineage: Eukaryota; Metazoa; Arthropoda; Arachnida; Araneae; Scytodidae. The record is from RNAcentral.